This 348-nucleotide transfer-messenger RNA is filed under the name Acholeplasmatales bacterium. It matches the Rfam family "transfer-messenger RNA". From Rfam's summary of the family: Bacterial tmRNA, also known as 10Sa RNA or SsrA, is named for its dual tRNA and mRNA-like properties. Its role is to liberate the mRNA from a stalled ribosome. The record is from RNAcentral. Lineage: Bacteria; Bacillati; Mycoplasmatota; Mollicutes; Acholeplasmatales.
GGGGAUGUUUUUGGAUUCGCCAGAGCAUUCUAGUGGUAAGAUAAGCAUACCUAGUAGUCCUAGUAAAAAACUAAACCCUUGCUUAAACGCAAACACACAAAGUUAUUCUUUCGCUUAUUAACAAGCGAACCAUCCUAGCUAUUUAUCUUUAGAUACCUUACGAUGGCCCCAAUAAAGAUAUAUCUAAAAAGAUACCUAGUAUUUUUAGAUGAAUCCCGCUAGGCAAUCUUUAGUAAGUUUUGUUUAUUUUAUUCUUACUUUAGAGAUACCUAAAACAAUAAACUAAGUAUGUAGAAAAUCUUAUGGCUUGUGUUUUGUACAGGGGUUCGAUCCCCCUCAUCUCCACCA